This 253-nucleotide ribosomal RNA is filed under the name uncultured bacterium. Its description in RNAcentral is "partial 16S ribosomal RNA". It matches the Rfam family "Bacterial small subunit ribosomal RNA", at positions 524 to 776 of the family's 1533-position model. The record is from RNAcentral.
UACGUAGGGUGCAAGCGUUGUCCGGAAUUAUUGGGCGUAAAGAGCUCGUAGGCGGUCUGUCACGUCGGGAGUGAAAACCUGGGGCUUAACCCCGGGCCUGCUUUCGAUACGGGCAGACUAGAGUUCGGCAGGGGAGACUGGAAUUCCUGGUGUAGCGGUGGAAUGCGCAGAUAUCAGGAGGAACACCGGUGGCGAAGGCGGGUCUCUGGGCAGUAACUGACGCUGAGGAGCGAAAGCGUGGGGAGCGAACAGG